GGUUAAGCGACUAAGCGUACACGGUGGAUGCCCUGGCAGUCAGAGGCGAUGAAGGACGUGCUAAUCUGCGAUAAGCGUCGGUAAGGUGAUAUGAACCGUUAUAACCGGCGAUUUCCGAAUGGGGAAACCCAGUGUGUUUCGACACACUAUCAUUAACUGAAUCCAUAGGUUAAUGAGGCGAACCGGGG
Molecule: ribosomal RNA, 188 nt
Filed under: Escherichia coli
Lineage: Bacteria; Pseudomonadati; Pseudomonadota; Gammaproteobacteria; Enterobacterales; Enterobacteriaceae
Also listed under: 1 other name
Description: partial 23S ribosomal RNA
Rfam family: Bacterial large subunit ribosomal RNA
Source: RNAcentral